AGCGAACGCUGGCGGCAGGCCUAACACAUGCAAGUCGAACGAACUCUUCGGAGUUAGUGGCGGACGGGUGAGUAACCCGUGGGAACGUGCCUUUUGGUUCGGAAUAACUCAGGGAAACUUGUGCUAAUACCGAAUGUGACCUUCGGGGGAAAGAUUUAUAGCCAUUAGAGCGGCCCGCGUCUGAUUAGCUAGUUGGUGAGGUAACGGCUCACCAAGGCGACGAUCAGUAGCUGGGCAGAGAGGAUGACCACCCACACUGGGACUGAGACACGGCCCGGACUCCUGCGGGAGGCAGCAGUGGGUGAUCUAGCGCAAUGGGCGGAGUCCUGACGCAGCCAUGCCGCGUGAAUGAUGAAGGUCUUAGGAUUGUAAAAUUCUUUCACCGGUGACGAUAAUGACGGUACCCGGAGAAGAAGCCCCGGCUAACUUCGUG
This 433-nucleotide ribosomal RNA is filed under the name uncultured bacterium. Its description in RNAcentral is "partial 16S ribosomal RNA". It matches the Rfam family "Bacterial small subunit ribosomal RNA", at positions 29 to 507 of the family's 1533-position model. The record is from RNAcentral.